RNAcentral lists this ribosomal RNA (416 nucleotides) under Rhodococcus sp. 1s. Its description in RNAcentral is "SSU rRNA". It matches the Rfam family "Bacterial small subunit ribosomal RNA", at positions 12 to 431 of the family's 1533-position model. Lineage: Bacteria; Bacillati; Actinomycetota; Actinomycetes; Mycobacteriales; Nocardiaceae. The record is from RNAcentral.
UUUGAUCAUGGCUCAGGACGAACGCUGGCGGCGUGCUUAACACAUGCAAGUCGAGCGGUAAGGCCUUUCGGGGUACACGAGCGGCGAACGGGUGAGUAACACGUGGGUGAUCUGCCCUGCACUUCGGGAUAAGCCUGGGAAACUGGGUCUAAUACCGGAUAUGACCUCAUGUUGCAUGAUUUGGGGUGGAAAGAUUUAUCGGUGCAGGAUGGGCCCGCGGCCCUAUCAGCUUGUUGGUGGGGUAAUGGCCUACCAAGGCGACGACGGGUAGCCGACCUGAGAGGGUGACCGGCCACACUGGGACUGAGACACGGCCCAGACUCCUACGGGAGGCAGCAGUGGGGAAUAUUGCACAAUGGGCGAAAGCCUGAUGCAGCGACGCCGCGUGAGGGAUGACGGCCUUCGGGUUGUAAACU